ACAAAUGAAAACAAGUCUGAGUCCAAACCCAAAUAGGUAUCUUGCUUGGCUCGCAUGGAUCAAUUUGUUAAUAAAUAAACUCUAAAACGAUAUUGUACAACCGAGCCUACCGACCCUGGCAUGCAAACUUGAAGCUGAUCAAAAUAAAUCUGAGUCAAAAUACACAAACCUGAGUUAAGUGCGAGCCAAUCACAAACAUUAAAAUUAUGAAACGAAUCAAACACGAACACAUAUUCAACAAGCUCAGCGAGUCUGAGCCUCGACUCACUGAAAACGAGCCGGGCCUGGUUCAGGGCUCAGCUCGGCUUGUCUUCAGCCCUUCUACCUAAGUCUGGUUUUCCACUACCCCUGUCUGAGCUUUUGUUCCCGUAUCUUAUGUCUGAGGUCCUGCUACUCACGUUCGAUUAUGUAGCAAUCUUAAGGAUUUUAUAUCAUGUAUCCAAACUCACACGUUGCUGACAUCGUUGCUAAUGCUGCUAUCAGUUUCACUUCUCACGCCAACCACAACAGUGCUACUGUUUUUCCAUUCGAUAUCAUCUUGCCACUGCUAUUUGCAAAACCCUUUCCUGACAUCUCGAAAAUUAGACUGUUUGCUGGUCAGAACUGUAAAAAAUUGGCAGGAGUGAGUAUUUUCCAUACUUGAUGUGCAUGGCUGGCUGGGCACCCAAGAGGAGGCUGCUCAUGCCUAUAACAUUGCAGCAAUUGAGUACAGAGGGAUCAAUGCAGUGACCAACUUUGAAAGUACAUACAUCAGGUGGCUAAAACCAGGAGCUGUACUCCUCUUCCUUUCCAAGCACAAAAAAUAAGUUUCAAGUCCCAGCCCAUGGCAACUCUCUCCGAUUACAUUAUUCUAAAGGCCAGACAACUAAACCUCUCCAUCUUCAGUUCCAAUCCUUUUGAAGUAAAGCCUUAGACUGUAACCCUGAAGCACAACACAUUUUCCAUACCAAGAUACCUAUCUAUACUCCUUGCUCCAAGUCAUCAUCUUUUUCUUCAUCAACUGCUCUAAGCCUACUUCUGAGGUCUUCAGCAUUUAAAGAGCUGGUGGAGAAGAAUCUGAAAAGCACCAAAGGAAGUAGUGGAGAGCAUGAUUCCAAAACCUGCCACAACAAAUAGGCAACAAUCAUGAAGUUGGAAAGAUGUUCUACAAUCAAAUUGUUGUCAACCCAGUUCAAUAUAUGAGCCCUUCUUCCAAGAUGUAUUGGCUGGCUUAGCAUUUUCUUCAGAACAUGUUUUCAUUUGGUAAAGGAAUAAAACAGCAGUCUCUUUGGAAUGGUGACUCAGCAAUGCCCUGUACAGGUAUAGGGAGUGCGGUUUGGUGUUUUCUUUUUUCUCAUUCACAUUCAGGAAAGUAAUUUAGUUGCUCUUGAGGGUAGAUAAAGUGAACUCAAAAUGCAUCAUAUUUUUUUUUUUCCAAUAAAACUAUGCGCAUUCAGUUUUGACU
This is a long non-coding RNA of Mangifera indica (mango), 1444 nucleotides long. RefSeq lists it as uncharacterized. The transcript has 2 exons. The record is from RefSeq and is a predicted model, not a curated record. NCBI's taxonomy places the organism in Eukaryota, Viridiplantae, Streptophyta, Magnoliopsida, Sapindales, Anacardiaceae.